UGGACAUUUGUAAUAGUCAAACAAAAAAUUGUUAAAUCAAUGCAAUACCACAUAUCCAAUUAAAAAUUCUUUGUUUACUUUUGAUUAUUUGCUUUGUAACAUGUAAUUAAUAAAUAUGAUAUAUAUAACUUUUGUAGUUUUUUUGGUAGCCCUCCUAUAAGCCAAAGUGAAUCUGUGUGGCCUUUGGUCUUAACAGUUCUAUGCAUCCCUGUUGUAAAGACCCCAAACAAAAAAAUGAAAACCAAGGAAUCUAUAUUAUCCCAGUAGAACAUGAGCACACGACAAAAAGCCUCAUGCAUAGAGGUCACCAACUGCACUGUAAAAAAAAAAAAACUUCAAGAACAUGAGAGAGACAUAAGGAGUGGCAACACCACAGCAGCACUUGUGGCAGAAUGCUAUGCCUCAGAUGUGGCAGUAAACUGGAGAGGAACAAAAAUAAUUAAACAAGCACCAAAUAUGAAACAAGGAUUAAUCCUAGAGGCAUUAGAAAUAGAGAAGAGGAAAAAAAAAUAUUCUAAAUGAAAGAACGUCGG
This 533-nucleotide long non-coding RNA is filed under the name Androctonus crassicauda. Lineage: Eukaryota; Metazoa; Arthropoda; Arachnida; Scorpiones; Buthidae. The record is from RNAcentral.